GACGAACGCUGGCGGCGUGCCUAAUACAUGCAAGUCGAGCGGACUUAUUUGAGUAGCUUGCUAUUUGGAUAAGUUAGCGGCGGACGGGUGAGUAACACGUGGGUAAUCUGCCUCGUAGUCUGGGAUAACAGGCCGAAAGGUUUGCUAAUACCGGAUGAGUUCGUGUUUCUGCAUAGGGACACGAAGAAAGGGGAAACCCGCUAUGAGAUGAGCCCGCGUCCCAUUAGCUAGUUGGUGGGGUAAAGGCCUACCAAGGCGACGAUGGGUAGCCGGCCUGAGAGGGUGGACGGCCACACUGGGACUGAGACACGGCCCAGACUCCUACGGGGGGCAGCAGUAGGGAAUCUUCGGCAAUGGGCGAAAGCCUGACCGAGCGACGCCGCGUGAGGGACGAAGGCCUUCGGGUUGUAAACCUCUGUCUGGGGGGACGAGAACGGACGGUACCCCCGGAGGAAGCCCCGGCUAACUACGUG
Molecule: ribosomal RNA, 473 nt
Filed under: uncultured bacterium
Lineage: Bacteria
Description: bacterial SSU rRNA
Rfam family: Bacterial small subunit ribosomal RNA
Source: RNAcentral